AAAAACUUAGUUAAUAAAUAACAUUAAUUUGUCAAAUUAAAAUAAUCAUAAAAAAUAGUUUUUA
Molecule: transfer RNA, 64 nt
Filed under: Staphylinoidea sp. 12 KM-2017
Lineage: Eukaryota; Metazoa; Arthropoda; Insecta; Coleoptera
Description: tRNA-Asp
Source: RNAcentral